AAUCUCUGAAAGGUAUUUUGCUUUUUUUUUUUUGUUCAAACAUUAAAAAUAAAAAAAAAAUCCAACCAUGAGGAAUAAGCUCAGCAUAACUGAUUUCAAUCAAAAUUCUUAAAAAAUUCAGUAGUAACAAGCCAUCCUAUGAUAGGAAAUGUAUUAAAUAACAAGUGAUGUAAGCAAUUCCAGUAGCUCAAUUAACACAGACAUUAUGGGCAGCAUAAGAAAUUGCCUGACGGAGUUUGAUUUCACAGGAAAAGUUUUCUUCCAGAAAAGUCCUGCUCCAUGACAGCAGGUAAUGGAAGAAGGAAAAAGAAACCCAUUAGCUGCAGUUCUUCAAACACUGUUUCCAUACUCAGUGGAAAUGGAAAGGUGAGGCAUCCAUGUGGUACAUACAAGGGAUAAAGACAAAAGGAAUAAUAAGUUGUUUAUUGGGUAGUAAAUCAUUCAGUGAUGUGAGGGGUUUCCACAGAACCAGCUCCCAAUUUUCACAAAUUCAGACCAGCCUGCUCUACAUCAAGUGACAGAAUUACAGGAAAUGGCUUUGCACAUAAUGGUACUUUAAGAAAAGCUCAUUUUGAGACAUUUUAACUGGAACUCAGAGCUAAAUUUAAAAUGUUUUUCAAAAGAGUGGGAUUUUUUCCCCAUAUUUUCCUGUACCAUGCAAAAGCAUACAUCGUGAAAGACAUGUUUUAGGGUAGUAAGGGUAGCAUUUUGAAACUAUCAUUUAUUUAACAAGAUUAACUUUUGCUUUCUCAGUAGUAUUUCAUAGAAUUGCAAUAUUUAAAGCAUAUGGCAUUAAAUCUCCUGAAUUGUUAGUGGUAGGAAAGUACAAAUGAUACAGUGAAUAAUAGAAAAAGUUAAAACUUAUCAAUUAAAAGGACUUUUAAUUUGGUAAAAUACUCUGGCCCAUCUCUACAGCUAAGAAUUCAUGAAGUGUUUGACUUCACAGAGAAUAUGCUUUUCCUGCUUAAGGACAUCAAUUUGCAGCAACUGAUAACCUCACACAACCGAGCACGAUGACAAGUGCAGCGAAAGGACAUUGCAGGAGGAGAAGAGGCUGGGGAAGUCACAAGGCUGAACUUGCAGGAGCUGGAACUCUUCUCAGAGAAACCAAGCAGAAAGAACAGUGAUUACUUUCAACAAAUACAGUAUAGAGGAACCUCCUGAAAUGACAGCAAAGCUUUUAGAUUGAAACAUUUGGGUGGGGCCCUCUCAUUCUGUACCUGACAACUAGGCAAGUCCACUCCAAAAAGAUGGUGUUGAAGAAGGCUUGUGAUCCUGAGGAAAGGCAGGCAGAACUGCUGCAGAUCACGCUCUACAGAAUCCGGAUUUACCUAUAGGGCAGGAAGCAAUUACUAAAUUCUGUCCCAGUAUCAUAUUCGACAAUAUAACUUUGGCAGGUAAUGACUACAGAAGGAAGCCACAAAGAGAACCAGAAGCAAAAUUAAGGACAUAGGACCUUUUUUAGUGAAUUUGGAAGGAGAUCUUUGUAUAAAUAACCUUUGAAAAACACUCCUCUUGAUCUAAAGCUUAAACUGUUAUUUGAAAAUUGACUUCAGAACAAAGGAAGACAGCACUGAACUUCAGAUAGUCCCUGAAAGGUAUAUUAAAGUUCCAGGAUACAGAUAAAUUUUUCAGCUUCGACACUGAAACUGGAUACUAUUCAAGUUGAUUACAUCCAUUCUAUAUUUAGUCAAGAACCUUAUCCAAUCAUUAAAGAGAAGUGCUAGUGUUCGACUGA
This is a long non-coding RNA of Pipra filicauda (Wire-tailed manakin), 1738 nucleotides long. RefSeq lists it as uncharacterized. The transcript has 4 exons. The record is from RefSeq and is a predicted model, not a curated record. NCBI's taxonomy places the organism in Eukaryota, Metazoa, Chordata, Aves, Passeriformes, Pipridae.